RNAcentral lists this long non-coding RNA (1510 nucleotides) under Heterocephalus glaber (naked mole-rat). RNAcentral's name for it is "lncRNA (ENSHGLG00000038441.1)". Lineage: Eukaryota; Metazoa; Chordata; Mammalia; Rodentia; Bathyergidae. The record is from RNAcentral.
GUUUACUACUAUGCAUCUGUAAAACAGGGAGAGAAGAAAAUAGAAGCAGUAUUAUUUUAGACAUACUAUUUUAACCUAAAGAUGGUGGAGCCUGGCUUUGCAACAUUGCUUUGGCUGAACCCAGCCAGCUCCUUUAAAUGUGAUAAUGUGUCUUGGUUUCUUGAGGGCCCAGAGAUGAAUCUCCUCAUUCACUGUCACUCUUACAGCUUCCUGUGGUUCCUUUUCUGGGGCUCGGUGCACAAACCACUUUCCUUUCUCUAGGGAAGCAAGCAGAAUCCCAUCAAGUCUCAUCACUAUUCCCAGAUGUCACCAGGGUAGGCCUCACUGAUCCCUUCCCUUUCAUGCACAGAGCUGUCAGGAUAGGGGAGGAGCCCUUUAGGUCGGCUAGACACAGCUUUUCUACCUGAUUAUGCUGGUGCUUUUGCUAUGAUGAUUAAGACAAGACACUUGAGAAUCGUGCGCUUCUCAGGUGAGUGAUGAAAACAACAGAAUAGUCGCCUUGUAGGGUUUCUUUGGUCAGUGCUGACAGUUGAACUCAGAGCCUUCAGACUGAGCUAGCUAUACAUAUCAUACCACCACCCCCUUUUUGUUUAAUUUUGAGACAGGGUCUCGCUAAGUUGCCUAGGCUGGGUUUGAACUUGCAGUCCUUCUGCCUCAGCCUCCCAGAGUGCUGUAGUCCCUGGAUUACAGGCCUGUGCCUUCAUGCACAGCCUCUUAAGUUAUGCUUCUUGUAAAAUGCCCACUAACCAUCUUUGGCAGUGUUUCUGACCAGAGGUUCCUUAUGCCCGCUCUACAAAAGUAAAAUCUUUCAGAAUAAAUCCUUCAGUGAAUUCCUGGAUUAUCUUUGCACCUCUCCCUGAUGAUCAUGCUCAGCACAAAAAGACAUUUUGCUGUUUGUGUAUGUGUUGUCUUCCCUAGAACAGUUCAGUUGCCUCAAGUUAGUAUUUCAGUCCUGACCAAUGUAAACCCACGUAAUUAUCCAUCCCACACAUACUCCAGCUACUUUUACUCUUCACAAAUGUACCCAAAUAAAUAUGUUUCUGUAUAUUCAAGCCUGGCAAAUGAAUUCAGGUGACAAAACCUCAUAAUUACUUGGUGUUCUUACACUUAAUGAACAGUCCUAUUUCACUAACUUGGACUUAGGACUCUUGAUGAGCAUGCUCAGGUUGAAAAAAGGCUGGUCUCACCAAUCCAACAUCCAGCAACAUGGUAAAAUUCACAAACUCGUGUCUCAAUAACUUGAUGUAUGUUGUGAUCUAGAGGGAAUGAGAUGAAGUUUAUAUUUGAACUGUGGUAGGGGGUGGGGGGUGGGGGGAUUUGCGUAAGCUAAUAGUGGAGUGAUUGUCGAACAAGAUGACUACAAGAUGAGGUUAUUUUCAUGUGUCCUAGAACCGUUCUUUUACCCAUGAGUGAUUGUGCUAAUUAUAAAAAAUACAUGAAAGCAGGUUCCUUCAGAGAGGUAACAUUUGGUUAGCCAAGCCCAAGUUGUUUGUACUUGAAAGUAAUAAAG